RNAcentral lists this long non-coding RNA (1083 nucleotides) under Homo sapiens (human). RNAcentral's name for it is "HSALNT0375227". The record is from RNAcentral. Lineage: Eukaryota; Metazoa; Chordata; Mammalia; Primates; Hominidae.
ACCAGAACUACGGCAACCAGCCCAAGCACCACUUCGAGCUCCAGGAAAGCUGUGUGAUGCUGAAUAGACUGCUCAACCUCUCUGAGGCUGGUGUUCUUAUCUUCAAACGGGGAUAAAAGAUCUACCAGUCUAGGUGAGUGUGCACAACAAAUGGUAUAUUCAUUUGCUAGGGCUUCAGUAAGAAAAUAGGACAAACUGGGUGGCUUAAAACUGCAGGAAUUUACUGUCUUAUCAUCCUGCAGGCUAGAAGUCUGAAAUCAAGGCAUCGGGAGGCCAUGCUCCAAGACUCUGAGUGGAACCCUCUUUGCCUUUUCCUGACUUCUGGUGGUGCCGGCGGCCCUUGAUGUUCUUGGCUCUUUAAGCAUCUCUGCAACCUCUGCCAUCAUCUUCACACAGCGCCCUCCCUGUGCAUCUCUGUCUUCAUACGAUGUUUUCUUCUUUUCAUGAGGACAGCAGUUAUAUUGGGCUACAAUCCACCCUACUCUAAUAUGGCCUCAUCUAAUCAUACCUGCAAUGACUCUAUUUUUAAAUAAAGCCACAUUCAGAGGUACCCAGUUUAGGACAUGAACUUUUCGGGAGACACAGUUCAACUCAUCACAGAAAAUAAUCAGGGGUCUGGACAUUCUGUGUCAAUGAGAUUGAGCCACUAGUUGUUAAUAGUAUUUCACUCAUCUCUGCUGAUAUUUUUAAAGAACAUGUGAAAGGGGUGAGGUAUCUGAUAGAAAGCCCUCCCUCAUGUAAUUGAUGAGAUAAGGGUUCUAAUUUUCCCCACAGAAGUUAUAAAGAGCACCUGAGCUGUCAGCCAAAUCAAAUUGCCAGUGGAAAGCAGGUGAACCUAAGGAAGCCAUGGGGGUGAGACGUGCCUGGGCAUGCCCUGUUCAUGGUGGCACCGACCCACACAGCAUUCAUAGAAUUCAUACCUUCCCGGAGCUGGCGUGACUCCUGGGAGACCACAGUUUCUGAGAAAAUAGAAAGCCAAGUGUAAACUGGACUGGUCACAAAGACUCCGCAGGGAGCUGGCUGCAGACACCCACUCAGUCCAGUCCUGUGGGCACACAGUUGGGUCUUAGGGGAAAAAGAAAG